GAUGAACGCUAGCGGCAGGCUUAACACAUGCAAGUCGCGGGGCAGCGGGGGAUGUAGCAAUACAUUCUGCCGGCGACCGGCGCAAGGGUGCGUAACGCGUGAGCAACAUGCCCGUCUCAGGGGGAUAACCGGUGGAAACGCCGCCUAAUACCCCAUGGUGACAUCCGGAGGCAUCUCCGGCUGUCUAAAGCUCCGGCGGAGACGGAGUGGCUCGCGUGACAUUAGCUGGACGGCGGGGUAACGGCCCACCGUGGCUACGAUGUCUAGGGGUUCUGAGAGGAAGGUCCCCCACAUUGGAACUGAGACACGGUCCAA
This 315-nucleotide ribosomal RNA is filed under the name uncultured bacterium. Its description in RNAcentral is "bacterial SSU rRNA". It matches the Rfam family "Bacterial small subunit ribosomal RNA", at positions 28 to 334 of the family's 1533-position model. The record is from RNAcentral.